Homo sapiens (human) is the source of this 876-nucleotide RNA transcript. It is a transcript of the gene named nucleoporin 210 pseudogene 1, with no coding region annotated. The transcript has 5 exons. The record is from RefSeq and is marked validated. Lineage: Eukaryota; Metazoa; Chordata; Mammalia; Primates; Hominidae.
GUUAGGUUAUGACAGGAGCAGCACUGCAGCCACAAGCCAUGGCAGUCGUGGCCCGGGGAUCAUUCCAAGUCUAUUUACAGCAGCAACAUUAAACCAGCCCUGCCAACAUCCUCCCUGUGCUUGGGCCACGCUGGGGCUGGUCACCUCUGAGGGCAGCCCCCAGCCUCAGUCCAACAUCCUUUUCUCCAUCAGCAACUAGAACGUUGCACUGGUGAGCGCUUCCAGGCUGGUACCAGGUCUCACCAUGGGGAAGGGCACUGUGUCUGGGCUUGUGCAGGUGGUGGAUGCAGAGACUGGCAAGGUGGUCAUCAUCUCUCAGGACCUCGUUCAGGUGAAGGUGCUGCUGCUUGGAGCCGUGAGGAUCCGCAGCCCCAUCAUGCAGAUAAGGAUGGGCACCCAGCUGGGGAAGAAUUGGAUACAUCUCCCACUGCUUGAAGGAGGCAGCACAGCUUCUGGGGGCAUUCCCAGUGCUGGCACCCCGCUGGUCACCAGGCCUGACUUCUCCCCACCGAUGUCCAUCUAUAUCACCUGGAUCACCAACCACCAGAACCCUUUCUCCUUUGGCAAUGCCAUGCCAGGCCUGACCUUCCACUGGUCUGUCACCAAGCGGGACAUCCUGGAUCUCCAAGGGCAGCAUCACAAGAUGAGCCAUUAAGUCCAGCCCACAUUCAAGGGGAGAGGAAGUAAGCAUCACCUCAGGCACAGAAGAACAGAAAGAAGUUGUGUGCAUAUCUUUAAGACAACCACAUACCAGGAACUGCUUUUUUUUGGUAUAGAAACUAUCUUUUUAAAAAUUUACCCUUGACAUUUGGAAACUUCAUCCAGCUAUGUCUGAUUUGCAAAUUCAGGUAUAUCUUUAAAAUAAUUUUCUUUGAU